This is a long non-coding RNA of Pan troglodytes (chimpanzee), 2070 nucleotides long. RefSeq lists it as uncharacterized. The transcript has 5 exons. Lineage: Eukaryota; Metazoa; Chordata; Mammalia; Primates; Hominidae. The record is from RefSeq and is a predicted model, not a curated record.
UCCCGGCUAGCAGCGUCGGAGCUGGCAGGGCUUCUGCAAGCCCUCUGCUCCCACCCUGGCCCCAUUUCACAGACGAGGAAACAAAGGCCCAAAGAAGAGUUCCGCCCGGGACGGAACGUGGCAUAGCUCGCAACAGAACCCAGUCUCCGGAGAUCCCUCUCCUCUGCACCACUUGGACGUUCCACGGGGAGGCAGCGGUGCGCGGGGCGACGGGGAGCUGCCAGAGAAGCAGUGGGGAGCCAUGGAAAGUUUCUGAACAGAGAAGCACUUAUUGGGAACUGUCAGAGCUAUGCUUCAGGAGAUGAAUCUGGCAACAACGUGGGUUAAUAUUAAUGCCCUGUACAUCCUGAGUACAUGUUUCCAGAAAGAGGUGAUCCAGGAGGCUGCCAAGUGGCCUGCAGGUGACAUCCGGAGGGCAGAAAAUGCCCAUGCAGGUCCACAUGUGGGUCCUUAAGCCCCUCGAGGAAAAGGGAGGAGAAAAGGACAAAGAAGGCUCUCCCUUUCCCUUGGAUCCCCUUCUGCUCCCACAUGCCUAGUGGGAGCCUCCCUCUUCUGCUUGAGCCUUCAGGACAGGUUCAGGACCCUGUCUCCUACCUGGCUGGGCCAGAAAUGAGGAACAUGUUGCAAGCCCUCCUCCACCUGACUUGCCAAGUCCAUACAGGCUGGGGCCUUAGAUCCAACAACUUAGAAAGGAAGCUGCUUGGACCUGAAGGUGGAGCUGAAUUUGAGCCUUUGCUGGAGGUGGGGUGCCCGGCCUUUCUACAAACGCCUGCUUGAUUCCCUCCGUGAUGGGCAAAGGCCUUCCCUCCCACAACACCUGAAUUCUGGGCACCCUGAUCUUUGGAGGCCAGGACUUUCCCAGGUUCCCUAUCAGUCCACCCACAUCAGAAGUAGAACGAACACCCUACUAUCUAACCCGUUCCUGGCUCCUGCCCCCAGCCCUGCCUCGUAGCUGGCCUGUGGUGGGUGGGGUGUGGCUGGCAGUUGGUACCCGUUAAAAGAGAGCCAGGAGUGAUAUCUACUUGGUACCUCCCUCAAAGCUCCCGCUCACCACCUGGAUGCCUGUGUGCACGCAGGAAUUGGCUGGGGGCUGGGGAGAGCAUGGGUGGGGGUGCUGGUUUGCUUGGUUUAUAACACUUCUUCUUGCUCCUCAAUGCCAGGGCAGAGAGUGUGCCCCUGUACAUGCAUCCUCAUUUGUGGGCAAGGCUCUGUCCAUGCAGGUGCCUGGAGAUGUGGGUUUACUCACACAUUCCCAGGCUCUCAGGGUUGGAAGGGACUUUGGAAGAGGCCUUCCCCCUCCUCCCUCACCUGUUCUGCCAUAUCCAUGCCAAAUGCUCAUCUGGAUUCUGCUUGAUCACUCCCAGUGACUGGAAGCUCGCUUCUUCCCCAGGCAGCCCAUCUCUGCUGACUGCUGGAAUACUGAGCUGGAAACUGUGCCAGCAACCUGGACAAUUCCCCACCCCCUACCCCAUCUGCAAGAAAACCGGACCAGGACAAGAUGCCAAAAACACAGCACCCUAAGAUAGUUACAGCUCAUGCUUACAGAAUACCUCCUUAGCCAGGCACUGUACUAAGUGCUUUACGUAUCUUCACUCUCAUAAUCUUCAUGAAACUCUAUGAGGUCAUGUUUGUUGUUAUCCCCGUUGUGUUGAAAAGAAAACCGAGGCACAGAGAAGUUAAGACACUUGCCUGAGGUCCCACAGCGAGGAGGUGGCAACACCUGAUAUACAAUCAGGAAGCCUGGCUCUUCCUGAGUUUAAUCACCACAUUAUAUUGCAGGCACUGCCCAGAGAGAGAGAGAGAGAGAGAGAGAGAGAGAUGGAGACAGAGAGAAAGACACAGAGACAGCACGUAAGAAUGAGCAGGCAUGAGUGUGUAUCUUCACCACCAUUUCUGGGAAGCAGAGCCCAGUGGUGUUAGAGGCAGCUGGGAAGACUGGAUAUGAAAUUAAGACAUCAGGAAUUGCCUUUCUUCUUCCUCCUCCCCACCUUUUCCUUCCCCUCCCACCCCCUUUCUUCUUCAUCACCACUGCCCUCGCCUUCAUCUGAAUUAAAAGCCAUCUUCUCAGCA